CAGCCGCCGCGGGAAUACGUAGGGUGCAAGCGUUAAUCGGAAUUACUGGGCGUAAAGCGUGCGCAGGCGGUUAUAUAAGUCAGAUGUGAAAUCCCCGGGCUCAACCUGGGAACUGCGUUCUGAACUGGGUGACUAGAGUGUGUCAGAGGGAGGUAGAAUUCCACGUGUAGCAGUGGAAUGCGUAGAGAUGUGGAGGAAUACCGAUGGCGAAGGCAGCCUCCUGGGAUAACACUGACGUUCAUGCCCGAAAGCGUGGGUAGCAAACAGGAUUAGAUACCCGCGUAGUCCCUGUCUCUUAUAC
RNAcentral lists this ribosomal RNA (301 nucleotides) under uncultured bacterium. RNAcentral describes it as "partial 16S ribosomal RNA". It matches the Rfam family "Bacterial small subunit ribosomal RNA", at positions 509 to 807 of the family's 1533-position model. The record is from RNAcentral.